Molecule: long non-coding RNA, 4884 nt
Filed under: Brassica napus (rape)
Lineage: Eukaryota; Viridiplantae; Streptophyta; Magnoliopsida; Brassicales; Brassicaceae
Description: long non-coding RNA (BNAP_LNC021344)
Source: RNAcentral
GAAAGGACAUGUGUAAAUACCAACUCCCCUAGGGAUCGAUGGCUGUCUUCGGACUGGUGGACGACCUUGACCUCGUCCUGGUGGUCGGCCACGUCGAGGUCCCGUAGCUGAAGCAGGUGGUGCACUAGAUGAUGUUGGAAACGUAGAGGUCGCACCAGAGGUCGCACCAGAUGCAGUAGAUGAUGCAGAUUGGGAUUGAGGCACUGAAAUGGAAGCUUGAGACUUAGUUUUUCUUUGUCUUUUAGGUGGAGGAGAUGGGUAGCUUUCACCAUCAACCUUAAAUGUUUGAGAAAAAAAACGUAAGAUAACAUAACAAUUCUAAGUAGUUAAGGGAAAUAGUUACACUCACAGGUAUCUUCUGAGGUCUUCCACGUUUUCGUUUUGGACCUUCAACCACAAAAGAUUGAUUCUUACAAGUCCCUUUGUUAUGUCCAACCUGUUUGCAAUUACUACAAGUGAUAGUCCUCCUACCACGAGUUGUUCUAUUGGGCUUUGAUGGGGACUCAUGAGCUGGUGCAAUUCUCUUUUUCUUAGGACGUCCUGGCAUCUUUCUAAAUCCAGGAACACCAAUGGAUCCCUUACCAGUUUUAUUCCAAUAGAGCUCCCCAUUGACUGGUUUGAUGUUGUCCCUAUAUGUGUCUAUCCACACUGGAGUUUUAUAGUAGUUAACAACAUACCUGCAAAUAUGGAAAACCAAACACAAUUCAGAUUUUCUAGUAACUGACAACAUACAUCAAAGUUUUAUAGUACUUAACAUCAUACGCUAAUUUAUCAGAGUUUUGAAAGCAAAUUUGACUUACUCUUCUGGUUUUCGACGAAUGUCAUUGAUGACACAAAUUGCAUGGUUGCAAGGUAUACCAACCAGGUCCCAACGCCCACAAGCACACGUUCCCAUUCUCAGGCUGACCUCAUGACUUAAAUCAUGCACUAAAACCUCAUACAAGUUAUCACUACUUACCAUGAUUUGGCAGUCUUUGCUGUUUUUUCUAUUCACCUCCAACACAUCUGCUAUUCUUUGCGGGAAUUGCAUUAUACACUUGGCUGCCCUCUUAAACCUACGAGAAAUACGCAUCAUGGCUUGUCUUCUGAUGGUUUCCAACAUAUUAAUCAAAGGCAAUUCUCUAGCCUUUUUGAUGGUCCGGUUGAAGCUUUCUGAAAGGUUGUUGCAAACAUUAGCCGACCUUCCUGUUUUUGAGAAGAAAGCUCGACACCAAUGUUCUGGUUCUGCAGCCAACAAUGCUUCAUACGCCUCUCUGUCAUAUAAAAGCAGCUCGUCCAUGUGCAUUUUAUACUCUCCUUUAGUGUAACUAUAUGCCACUUUCUAGAAGAAAGGCUUAUAGUCAAGAUCCCCAAAUUUUUUCUUCCAAUUUCCAUACACAUGCCUUGCACAUACCCUAUGCUCAGCAUUUGGGAGAACAGUAUCAAGAGCAAUUUGUAAACCCUGCAAACAAAUGUUUGUAUUAGUGAAUAAAUAUACUGGUUAAUUUUUAAUAUGUUUGUAUAACCUGUCUUAGAAUUGAUAGUAAUUUUUAAUAAGAAUUUGGAGUAAUAUUCUUAAAGUUUUUUAGUUUUUUUUUGUUAAGUUUCCAGAAUAUUUUAGAAACUAUGUACUUUUUUGUCAAUUUUUUAGAAACUAUAUUCAAAUUGUAAUCAAACAUCUAAAGAAUAUUAGAUUUUCAAUCAAAAAGGGAAAAUAUAAGUGAUUAAUCAAUUAGGUAGUAGAAGGUUCUGAGUUUAAAUAAGAUUAUGGGCUUUAUAUAAAUUUAAUUUAAUAAAUAAGUUUUUUGCAAUUUUUCUUCCCUAUCUUAUUUAAAUUAAUAAGAAUUAUCAUUCCAAUUUAUUUAAAUUGUAUGUGUUGAUUAAAAUAUAAAUUUUUAUCAUUGUUUAAAAUAAUACAUAAUAAUUACCAUUGUAACAUAAGUGUUAUACAAAGUAAACCCAUAUAAUAAAUGAAAAUGUAACUAUAUUAUGUAUCAUCAAUUUUAUAAAAGAGCCAUUUUACAUUAUUUUUUUUAACUCAAAGACAUUAAACGAAGUAUGUUCGUAAUAUCAAUUUUUUUAAAUAUAGUGUUAUUGAUUUUUGGGUGAUUAAAUGUAUCACAUAGUUAGAUUAUAAUUAAGGUGUUUUGCAUAUAAAUUAGAACUAUAAUAACUCACAAAAGAAAUAUGGAAAAUAUUACUUAUCAUAAAUAUAGAGAAUAUUUUGUUGUUUAAUUUAAAUAUAUAAUAUCUAUAUUAAAAUUAAAUGUCAGUGGCAUAGCAUUGUAAAUAUGAUAAAAAACUAAUGUUAGAAUCUUAGGAGAGAUUCUGCUUUAAUAGUAUAGAUAUAAAGAAAUUUUAUGUUAUUUAAAACCCCAAAAACUUAAUGAUUUAUAAUUAAAAACCAUUUAAUAAUAAUUAAUAAUAAAAUUAUUAUCUAAAUAAUAAUAAAUUAUACUUAUGAAAAUUCCAGUUAUAAUAAUUUAAAUAUGAAGAACGGUAUAUGUUAAGGUUAUUUUAAAAAGUACGAGUUAUUUGUUUUCAUUUAAAACUUCUACAGUCUAAAUAAUAGGGAUGUAGCAUUUUGGACUAAAACAAAUAUAAAAAGGAAGUUUUCAUUUUUUUUGCUGUACCUUUGAAAAAGAAAGUUAUAUUCUGAUUGGUAAAAUUUUGCUAUAACUUUAAAUUUUAAAAAUAAAGCUAUAUCAUGAUUGGUUAGAAUUAGUGUUUUAAAAAUAAAUAAAUCUAAAGUUCUAAGUUAAAGCCCAACCAAUCACCCUCAAUAUAAAUCUUUUAACUUAUCUAUGUCAUAUUAAUAUUAUAAACAUUAAUGAAUAUCAAUAAUAUACACAAAAUUUUAAUUUAUGUAACAAUAUAAGUUGCAUUUUGUCUCAUUCUCCCCCACAAUUCACGUUACUCUUCUUUUUUUUUGAACAAAUUCUUCUUCACCAUCAUAAUUAUUUACAAACUUACCAUGUAUAUAAAAUAAUUUAUUAGACAUUUUCAUAAAAUUUUGAUCCACAAAAAACAAAAUAAAACAUUUGUAUAGAUGCACAGAUCAUAUUCUAAAAAUGGUGGUAAUACAAUUGACGGUUUAUAAGAUAAAAUAAAAUUCUUAAAAAAUAUAAACUAUAAAAUUAUUAUGCUUAUAAAUGUUAUUAAAUAAUUAUUUAACACAUGUAAAAUUUUAAAAUACAUAUUAUCACUUAGAAAAAAUAAAUAUUUAUUUAUAAAAAUAAAAGCAAACAUCCGCAAGGUCGUGGUUUAAAUAUACACAAAUUUAAACUCAUUUAUAAUUUCUUAUCAGUUACAUCAAAUUUAUAUUUUUAUAUUAUUUUCUUAAAAAUUUAAAUCUUAAUUUGUAUAUGUUACAAAUUUUAUAGAAGUUUAACAAUCAUUUUAUUUUCUUACAAAUAUUAUAGCUAAUGUUUCAUUUAUAAUUAGCAUGCUAAUUCACAAUUGUCUCGUAAUUUUUAUUGAAAAAAAUUUGUUCGCUAUAUAUCUUAGACAUGGAUCUUAUUAUAUAAAUGUUAGAUUUGUUUAUAUAAUACAUAAUAUCGGUUAUACAUUUUACGCUAAAAUGCUAAUAUAUAAAUUAAGUACAAAUAUAACAUUUACAUUUACAAAUAUGACUACAUUAACAAAUCUAUCUUAUUAAAGUAGAAGUAUUUUAAGCUUUUGUUUGGCAACAUAGAUAAAAAAUAAAAAUAAUUAACCAUGUUGUUUGGAAACAUUGAUAGUAGUAUAUUAAAAAAAAAAAUAAUGGGCUUAUCUUAUAAAAAAAUUGGAAGUCUGUUAUGUUAUAUUAAAAAGUAAUGAGCUUAUGUUACUUGAUAUACAUAGUUCAAAUUAAAAUAAUAAUUUAAAAUUUUUUUAUAUCAAAAAUUUAUUCAAAAAUAUACAUAUAUUCAAAAAUUGAUUUUUACUAAAAUAUUUUCAAAUCACCAUUAUAAUUGUUUUUUAAAUAUAUAUAAUAAAAAUACAAUACAAAGCUUAAUUUCAAACACCAACUUAAAGUAUGAUUUUUAUAUUUCACAUAAAAUUUUAAAAAUAUAAUAUAUGUGAUUACUUAUAUGAUGGUACAUAUAAAAUACUAUUAAUUAUGUGGUUACUUGUAUGAUGGUAUUUAUAAAAUACGAUUAAUUAUAUGAUGACACAUAUAUGAUAUAUAAUAGUGACUAAGGGUGGGCGUUCGGGUACCCAUUCGGGUUUGGGACGUGUCUGUUUGGGUUUUGGGUUUUGGGAUCAAAUAUUUCAGCCCCAUUCGGAUAUUUCUAAAUUUUGGCCUGGGUUCGGUUCAGAUCUUUGCAGGUUCGAUUUGGAAUAGAAUAACCCAUUUAAACUAUUUUAAUUUUUUUAAAUUCAUUAUAUGCUCUAAAUUUUCCGAAAUCCUAAAAAAAUAAUAAUAUAUUACAUAUAAAUUUGAAUAACAUAUGUUAAACUUAACAUAUAAAUUGGUUAGGUUUAAAUAUUUGGACAGAGAAUCAAUAAUUAUUUUAAGUUUUUUGGUGUUUUGAGUAUACAUUAACUAUUUUAUAUAUUUAUUUUUGACUAUUUGUAUAUAUUUUCAAGUAUUUAAACCAACUUCGAUAAUAAACUAGAGUUGGUGUGGUCCCUGAGAUUGUCCAAGAUCUCGUGCCCUGCUUCCUCUCACAUCAAAUACUCGAUUUGUGAAAGGACAUGUGUAAAUACCAACUCCCCUAGGGAUCGAUGGCUGUCUUCGGACUGGUGGACGACCUUGACCUCGUCCUGGUGGUCGGCCACGUCGAGGUCCCGUAGCUGAAGCAGGUGGUGCACUAGAUGAUGUUGGAAACGUAGAGGUCGCACCAGAGGUCGCACCAGAUGCAGUAGAUGAUGCAGAUUGGGAUUGAGGCACUGAAAUGGAAGCUUGAGACUUAGUUUUUC